UGCCAGCCGCCGCGGUAAUACGAGGGGUGCUAGCGUUGUCCGGAAUCAUUGGGCGUAAAGGGUUCGUAGGCGAUCUAACAAGUCAAUUGUUAAAUACAUCGGCUUAACCGAUGAAAUGCAGUUGAAACUGUUAGGAUAGAGUUUAGGAGAGGAAAGUGGAAUUUCUGGUGUAGCGGUGACAUGCGUAGAUAUCAGAAGGAACACCAAUGGCGAAGGCAACUUUCUGGCCUAAAACUGACGCUGAGGGACGAAAGCGUGGGGAGCGAACAGGAUUAGAUA
RNAcentral lists this ribosomal RNA (279 nucleotides) under uncultured bacterium. Its description in RNAcentral is "partial 16S ribosomal RNA". It matches the Rfam family "Bacterial small subunit ribosomal RNA", at positions 506 to 784 of the family's 1533-position model. The record is from RNAcentral.